RNA transcript from Stomoxys calcitrans (stable fly), 1087 nucleotides. RefSeq lists it as uncharacterized. NCBI's taxonomy places the organism in Eukaryota, Metazoa, Arthropoda, Insecta, Diptera, Muscidae. The transcript is spliced from 7 exons. The record is from RefSeq and is a predicted model, not a curated record.
GUGUGAGAAAGGUUGAGUGUGUAUAAGAAGUGAGUGAAAGAGAUUACCAACAACAGCAACAAUAACUUACAAAGUCUAAUGGCCUUGAAUCAAAAUAAAUAAAAAGAGAAAAUAAUGAGAGAGUGGUUGAGAGAUAGAAAAAGAGAUUGUCAAAACUGCAGAAAGUUGAAAUCAAUGAGUUGUAUGUAUAACUAAAUGCUUUCCGUAAAAAUCGAAUAACAAGAAAGACAACAACAGCUUUAAAUUGAAAUACGUAAAGAACAAAGAUGCAUACUACAAAGCAAAGAAUGGGAUGGCAAGAAGAAGACAAUAUGUUAUUAGAGGACGUCACAUCCAGCACACUGACUACAUCCACAAUGGCCCCAGCCACACGGCAGUCGCUGCCAUAGAAGCUUCACAGGACCUACAGCGACAGACCAUCAGUUUGAAAGCAAACAAAAGAUUCGAAACUUUAGAAAAAUCGGAUGAACCAAAUACCUUACAUGCGCUACAGAAACACAUCUUCUAUCAAAGACCAACCCUUUUGUGCACCGUUUUCAGACACAUGAUCCUUCAGGAAUUUGAAAAUGAAUGGCAGAUUUUUUGUUUAUGGGAUAUGCUAAAGCCCAAAUCGCUGACGUUGAAAACACAUCAAAAAUCAUGUCAACUUGCCAGACUAGAAAUACCAACAUUUAACUAAAUUUGUGAGUUGCGAGAUUAACCUUAUCGUGAAUGCGGAGGCACAGCACCUAAAUCUAGAAUCACAAAAUUUUACAUAAACAUCAUCUGUGGUGAGAGGUGGCAGAAUAUGGCUGGCAUAUAGGAAAUGCGCACUUUAUUGACUAAACAUCUAAAUAAUCUUAAAGUGGUUAUACUAAAUAUUGUAGUUCCGAACAACAAUUCUGAUCAAAUUCUUUGAUAAUUGAAAGACUUCUGUCAUCAUUGUAAGACUUUAUACAAAAACGUUAUCCCGGCCGCUGGCCUGCAAUGAAAUUAGUUUCGAAUUUUAUGAAAUUAAUUUUUUUUCUAUCUGCAAUACCAUAUUGUUUAAUAUUUAUAAAGACAACUCUAAAACAAUAAAGUUCCAGGAAUUCAAAAAUAAUUAAAA